CCUACGGGAGGCAGCAGUGAGGAAUAUUGGUCAAUGGACGAGAGCCUGAACCAGCCAAGUAGCGUGAAGGAUGACUGCCCUACGGGUUGUAAACUUCUUUUAUAAAGGAAUAAAAUGAGGCACGUGUGCCUUUUUGUAUGUACUUUAUGACUAAGGAUCGGCUAACUCCGUGCCAGCAGCCGCGGUAAUACGGAGGAUCCGAGCGUUAUCCGGAUUUAUUGGGUUUAAAGGGAGCGUAGAUGGGUUGUUAAGUCAGUUGUGAAAGUUUGCGGCUCAACCGUAAAAUUGCAAUUGAUACUGGCAGUCUUGAGUACAGUUGAGGUAGGCGGAAUUCGUGGUGUAGCGGUGAAAUGCUUAGAUAUCACGAAGAACCCCGAUUGCGAAGGCAGCCUACUAAACUGUGACUGACAUUGAUGCUCGAAAGUGUGGGUAUCAAACAGGAUUAGAUACCCGAGUAGUC
Molecule: ribosomal RNA, 460 nt
Filed under: uncultured bacterium
Lineage: Bacteria
Description: partial 16S ribosomal RNA
Rfam family: Bacterial small subunit ribosomal RNA
Source: RNAcentral